ACGUCUUUUUCUCGCUUUCCUCUGAAUUACUGGGCGUAAAGCGUGCGCAGGCGGUUCGCUAAGACAGGUGUGAAAUCCCCGGGCUUAACCUGGGAAUGGCGCUUGUGACUGGCGGGCUGGAGUACGGCAGAGGGGGGUGGAAUUCCACGUGUAGCAGUGAAAUGCGUAGAGAUGUGGAGGAACACCGAUGGCGAAGGCAGCCCCCUGGGCCGAUACUGACGCUCAUGCACGAAAGCGUGGGGAGCAAACAG
Molecule: ribosomal RNA, 251 nt
Filed under: uncultured prokaryote
Description: partial 16S ribosomal RNA
Rfam family: Bacterial small subunit ribosomal RNA
Source: RNAcentral